Molecule: transfer RNA, 69 nt
Filed under: Pontinus longispinis
Lineage: Eukaryota; Metazoa; Chordata; Actinopteri; Perciformes; Scorpaenidae
Also listed under: 2 other names
Description: tRNA-Met
Rfam family: tRNA
About the family: Transfer RNA (tRNA) molecules are approximately 80 nucleotides in length. Their secondary structure includes four short double-helical elements and three loops (D, anti-codon, and T loops).
Source: RNAcentral
AGUAAAGUCAGCUAAUCAAGCUCUUGGCCUCAUACCCCAAACAUGUUGGUUAAAGUCCUUCCUUUACUA